AACCCAUUGUGAAGGCACCUUCUUAAUAAAUCCUUGUAUCUCUCCCAUGCAUCGUAAAGUGUUUCUAAAUCCAUUUGCACAAAAGAAGAGAUAUCAUUCCUCAAUUU
RNAcentral lists this small nucleolar RNA (107 nucleotides) under Gossypium hirsutum (cotton). RNAcentral describes it as "Plant small nucleolar RNA R71". It matches the Rfam family "Plant small nucleolar RNA R71". From Rfam's summary of the family: R71 is a member of the C/D box family of snoRNAs containing the C (UGAUGA) and D (CUGA) box motifs. Multiple nearly identical copies of this snoRNA have been identified in Arabidopsis, and it is thought to function as a 2'-O-ribose methylation guide for 18S ribosomal RNA. Lineage: Eukaryota; Viridiplantae; Streptophyta; Magnoliopsida; Malvales; Malvaceae. The record is from Rfam by way of RNAcentral.